AACAAAGAGCGUUCACGGGUAUUCCAAUUCACACUAACAGCACUUAUGCUCAAUCAAGCAUAAACCAUAUUAUUUCAGUAGACUGCACCUUUGUUGAAGCUCCAUGUGAUUGCUUUUCCAUAGGCAUGUGCUUUGGUUGUUCCACCGAAGAUGUGUUUGGCUUGUUUGUGAUCAUCCGAGAGAAGGACGACCCAAUGGCUCCGUUCAACAACUUGGAGCUUCAAGAUCAGUGGCUAAUAUGCAGCAUCGACCCAAUAAAACUUAGUUGAUUUCUCCAACAUCAGCCUCGACGGAUUGGAGACCUCUGAUGAAGAGCAGAUUUUAGAGAACUUGCUGCAGCCAAAAAUAAACAAGACAUCAUCACACCACUCUUCUGCUAACCAAAUACACUGGUACUAUAAAGCUAGGCUCAGCUGCAUAGUGCAUAUUUGUACAUUACAUUGUCUUAAUGCAGGAUGCUCUAUAUCUUUCUUCAGAGAAGUUAUCAGUGGCAAGCUCUAUAUCUUUCUUGAAUACUGCCCUGCAACUUUUGCUCUCUGACAAAAUAACAUCAACAUGUUUAGCAUGUCAUGGAAGCAAGCAAGUGCAUCUCAAGCGUGCCAACUGAAUUGCGGCAGCAAUAAUGUUAAUGUUGAUUAUACUUAAACAAUUGAGUUAAGCAUACCAGAUGCAGAAGCUGCCGCCGAAUCAGCAGUACCAGUCUACCAGAUGCAGAACUAUGAAUCGAUUGAGGUCAUUGAAUCAACCAUACCAGAUGCAGUUGCACAUGCGGCCAUGGAGGAUGUUGUCGCCGAGCCUUCCGCGACCAAGGGUGCGACCCGCAGCAUCUGCCCCCAACCCGGAGCCGCCACC
RNAcentral lists this long non-coding RNA (852 nucleotides) under Sorghum bicolor (sorghum). RNAcentral describes it as "long non-coding RNA (SBIC_LNC004036)". The record is from RNAcentral. Lineage: Eukaryota; Viridiplantae; Streptophyta; Magnoliopsida; Poales; Poaceae.